Long non-coding RNA from Oncorhynchus tshawytscha (Chinook salmon), 560 nucleotides. The record is from Ensembl. NCBI's taxonomy places the organism in Eukaryota, Metazoa, Chordata, Actinopteri, Salmoniformes, Salmonidae.
GCAGUUCCGUACGAACCAGCGGAGAAGCCAACUGAAGAAAAGGUGGGGGUCCACCACCACUCCGGAGGCUAAAGGGAUGGCACUCAGUCAAAACAGUGGGAGACCUAUUGCUAAAGGCAUCUCUGGAGGAACCUCAUCUGACCCAACCACCCCAAGGGUGGGCCUACAUAAGAGCUACUGAUGGUGUAAUCUGUCUGGUGGGGCCUUCUGCCAUAACAGACCUCCAUGCAGUUGAGAAUGAUGAAGACACCUUGUUAGCUGCCACAGAGAGGGAAGCUACAGAGAGGCCUAUUGAGCAAUGCUGGAAAAUACAAUGAGGAAGAGGGUCCAUCCACCUCCACAACUCCUCCUCAACUUACCUCAGUAAGAUGUUAUUCAGCAUUGGCCCAUGAUUUACAAUGAAACUAAGUAGACCUGGCACUGUGAAAUUCAAUCUAAUUUUUUUGUGUUCCUAUAGUUCCCUGUGAAACAGCUAUACUUAGAGAAACACAUUUAAAAAUGUAAUUUAGAAAUUGACCACAAGGCUGCAGAUGCAAGAACAUAGAAAUGCAACAGCUGGA